Molecule: ribosomal RNA, 230 nt
Filed under: uncultured bacterium
Lineage: Bacteria
Description: partial 16S ribosomal RNA
Rfam family: Bacterial small subunit ribosomal RNA
Source: RNAcentral
AAUCAACGCUGGCGGCGUGCCUAACACAUGCAAGUCGUGCGAGAAAGUUUCCUUCGGGAAGCGAGUAAAGCGGCGCACGGGUGAGUAACACGUAGGUAACCUACCUUUCAGUCCGGAAUAACCAGCUGAAAAGCUGGCUAAUGCCGGGUAAGACCACGACCUCUACGGGGGUCGCGGCCAAAGGCGGCCUCUUCAUGAAAGCUGAUGCUGAGAGAUGGGCCUGCGCACCA